RNAcentral lists this transfer RNA (27 nucleotides) under Phlegmariurus sieboldii. RNAcentral describes it as "partial transfer RNA-Phe". The record is from RNAcentral. Lineage: Eukaryota; Viridiplantae; Streptophyta; Lycopodiopsida; Lycopodiales; Lycopodiaceae.
GCCGGGAUAGCUCGGUAGGUAGAGCAG